AUCCAACUGACGAGUUCCGAAUAGGACGAAACGUGUGUCAAACUGGAU
Molecule: non-coding RNA, 48 nt
Filed under: Schistosoma mattheei
Lineage: Eukaryota; Metazoa; Platyhelminthes; Trematoda; Strigeidida; Schistosomatidae
Source: RNAcentral